This 253-nucleotide ribosomal RNA is filed under the name uncultured bacterium. RNAcentral describes it as "partial 16S ribosomal RNA". It matches the Rfam family "Bacterial small subunit ribosomal RNA", at positions 524 to 776 of the family's 1533-position model. The record is from RNAcentral.
UACGUAGGGUGCAGGCGUUAAUCGGAAUUACUGGGCGUAAAGGGCGCGUAGGCGGCCUGCCAAGUCGGAUGUGAAAUCCCUCGGCUCAACCGAGGAACUGCAUCCGAUACUGGCGGGCUUGAAUCCGGGAGAGGGAUGUGGAAUUCCAGGUGUAGCGGUGAAAUGCGUAGAUAUCUGGAGGAACACCGGUGGCGAAGGCGGCAUCCUGGACCGGUAUUGACGCUGAGGCGCGAAAGCUAGGGGAGCAAACGGG